Molecule: ribosomal RNA, 253 nt
Filed under: uncultured bacterium
Lineage: Bacteria
Description: partial 16S ribosomal RNA
Rfam family: Bacterial small subunit ribosomal RNA
Source: RNAcentral
UACGGAGGAUGCAAGCGUUGUUCGGAAUCACUGGGCUUAAAGAGCGUGUAGGUGGAAUGUCAGGCAUCGGGUGAAAUCCCUCGGCUCAACCGAGGAACUGCCUGGUGAACCGGCAUUCUUGAGGCAUGUAGAGGUGGCUGGAACGACAGGUGGAGCGGUGAAAUGCGUAGAUAUCUGUUGGAACGCUGGCGGCGAAAGCGAGCCACUGGGCAUGUCCUGACACUGAGACGCGAAAGCGUGGGGAGCAAACAGG